AAUAAUAAUAAUAAUAAUAACAAUGUACUUUUCUUUCUCUCUCAUUACUUAUUAACAACAACUACAUUUCUUAUCUUUCUUACGAGGGAUUUGUAAUGAGCUUGGAGUCUUAAGAGAAUAUUUUUAAAUUACCAGCUAUACGGUAUUCAUCUAUGAAUGGAAUUUUGAGUAGAAGAGCUACAUGUAAAAACUUGGCAGACUACGAUUGACGGACUUCAAGACAAUAAUUAGAAUAAAAUUAAUAGUUUAAUAACGUAUAGUACCACUCUCUCUCUCUCUCCAUCUUGUAGUUGAUGUUUCAGAAUUUAUUGAAGUCGUUGCCAUUAGUUUCAAGGAGCCACGCCCACAUGAAGCAGACGAGGGAGAUGAUGUUAGCAGGUGUUGCGUUGAAGCUAAAAUAAAAAUAAAGUUUUCUGUUGAUAGUGUCAGUGCCUAUAUUGAUUGCUCUUUUAGUCGAAUUUUACAGGUCAAUCAGUAUUCAGGAGGUUGACUUGACCUCUGUGUGUUCCAACGAAACCACAGGCUAGGCAGCGUAAGGUAUGUUAAACACGUAGCAUAAGUACAGUACAUGUACAUCAAUAUGCAUCAGAA
Molecule: long non-coding RNA, 591 nt
Organism: Amphimedon queenslandica
Lineage: Eukaryota; Metazoa; Porifera; Demospongiae; Haplosclerida; Niphatidae
Exons: 4
Source: RefSeq, a predicted model, not a curated record